Long non-coding RNA from Astyanax mexicanus (Mexican tetra), 231 nucleotides. RefSeq lists it as uncharacterized. Lineage: Eukaryota; Metazoa; Chordata; Actinopteri; Characiformes; Acestrorhamphidae. The record is from RefSeq and is a predicted model, not a curated record. The transcript has 3 exons.
CGCUCCAUAAACCACCCCUUUCUUGUUGAUUGCAAGCUCCACUGGAAAGACACAGCAGUGCUGCUGGAGUUCUUAAACACCUCCGAUGAAGAACCAGAGAAAGGCCAACAGAAGAUGUGGAAUACCGUGUUCUCCAGCAAAACCAGUGACAAACCUCCCGUCCCUGACCAGCACAUCGUGUCAGAGUGAGGGAAGAGUUUAAAGAGCUGCAGCUGAUUCAGACCAGCAGAG